Molecule: ribosomal RNA, 429 nt
Filed under: Gemmatimonadota bacterium
Lineage: Bacteria; Pseudomonadati; Gemmatimonadota
Description: Gemmatimonadetes bacterium partial 16S ribosomal RNA
Rfam family: Bacterial small subunit ribosomal RNA
Source: RNAcentral
UAGGGAAUCUUCGGCAAUGGACGAAAGUCUGACCGAGCAACGCCGCGUGAGUGAAGAAGGUUUUCGGAUCGUAAAACUCUGUUGUUAGAGAAGAACAAGGACGUUAGUAACUGAACGUCCCCUGACGGUAUCUAACCAGAAAGCCACGGCUAACUACGUGCCAGCAGCCGCGGUAAUACGUAGGUGGCAAGCGUUGUCCGGAUUUAUUGGGCGUAAAGCGAGCGCAGGCGGUUUCUUAAGUCUGAUGUGAAAGCCCCCGGCUCAACCGGGGAGGGUCAUUGGAAACUGAGAGACUUGAGUGCAGAAGAGGAGAGUGGAAUUCCAUGUGUAGCGGUGAAAUGCAUAGAUAUAUGGAGGAACACCAGUGGCGAAGGCGGCUCUCUGGUCUGUAACUGACGCUGAGGCUCGAAAGCGUGGGGAGCAAACAGG